GCGGACGUGGUGGAAUUGGUAGACACACCAGAUUUAGGUUCUGGCGCCGUAAGGUGUGAGAGUUCGAGUCUCUCCGUCCGCACCA
RNAcentral lists this transfer RNA (85 nucleotides) under Stutzerimonas stutzeri. RNAcentral describes it as "Pseudomonas stutzeri tRNA-Leu". It matches the Rfam family "tRNA". From Rfam's summary of the family: Transfer RNA (tRNA) molecules are approximately 80 nucleotides in length. Their secondary structure includes four short double-helical elements and three loops (D, anti-codon, and T loops). Further hydrogen bonds mediate the characteristic L-shaped molecular structure. tRNAs have two regions of fundamental functional importance: the anti-codon, which is responsible for specific mRNA codon recognition, and the 3' end, to which the tRNAs corresponding amino acid is attached (by aminoacyl-tRNA synthetases). tRNAs cope with the degeneracy of the genetic code in two manners: having more than one tRNA (with a specific anti-codon) for a particular amino acid; and 'wobble' base-pairing, i.e. permitting non-standard base-pairing at the 3rd anti-codon position. The record is from RNAcentral. Lineage: Bacteria; Pseudomonadati; Pseudomonadota; Gammaproteobacteria; Pseudomonadales; Pseudomonadaceae.